AGAUGGUGAACUAUGCCUGAAUAGGGCGAAGCCAGGGGAAACCCUGGUGGAAGCCCGCAGCGAUUCUGACGUGCAAAUCGAUCGUCAAAUUUGGGUAUAGGGGCGAAAGACUAAUCGAACCGUCUAGUAGCUGGUUCCCUCCGAAGUUUCCCUCAGGAUAGCUGGAGCCCGGUGCAGUUUUAUCAGGUAAAGCGAAUGAUUAGAGGUCUUGGGGUCGAAACGACCUCAACCUAUUCUCAAACUUUAAAUGGGUAAGAAGUCUGGCUUGCUCGACUGAAGUCGGACACGGAAUGCCGGGGCUCCUAGUGGGCCAUUUUUGGUAAGCAGAACUGGCGAUGUGGGAUGAACCGAAAGCCGGGUUAAGGUGCCCGAAUCGACGCUCAGCA
This 386-nucleotide ribosomal RNA is filed under the name Mycale escarlatei. RNAcentral describes it as "eukaryotic LSU rRNA". It matches the Rfam family "Eukaryotic large subunit ribosomal RNA", at positions 821 to 1207 of the family's 3401-position model. Lineage: Eukaryota; Metazoa; Porifera; Demospongiae; Poecilosclerida; Mycalidae. The record is from RNAcentral.